RNAcentral lists this ribosomal RNA (444 nucleotides) under uncultured bacterium. RNAcentral describes it as "SSU rRNA". It matches the Rfam family "Bacterial small subunit ribosomal RNA", at positions 26 to 518 of the family's 1533-position model. The record is from RNAcentral.
AGAACGAACGCUGGCGGCAGGCUUAACACAUGCAAGUCGAACGCUCGUAGCAAUACGGGAGUGGCAGACGGGUGAGUAACGCGUGGGAACAUACCCUCCGGUUCGGAAUAGCUCAGGGAAACUUGGAUUAAUACCGGAUACGGCUGAGAGGCGAAAGAUUUAUCGCCGGAGGAUUGGCCCGCGUUCGAUUAGCUUGUUGGUGAGGUAACGGCUCACCAAGGCGAUGAUCGAUAGCUGGUCUGAGAGGAUGAUCAGCCACAUUGGGACUGAGACACGGCCCAAGCUCCUACGGGAGGCAGCAGUGGGGAAUAUUGGACAAUGGGCGCAAGCCUGAUCCAGCCAUGCCGCGUGAGUGAUGACGGCCUUAGGGUUGUAAAGCUCUUUCGCUCGGGACGAUAAUGACGGUACCGAGAUAGAAGCCCGGCUACUCGUGCCAGCAGCCGC